UUGUAAAAUGACUUGAUUAUUUUAAGUUUAGAUAUGAACUCUGUUAAAAUCAGUUUCUGAAUAAUUUAGAAUAUUAGUUUUCCCUAAACAUAAUAUAAAUUAACUUCUUAUAUUUGAAAUAUUAAAUAACUAUUUAUAUUUGCACUCACCUGGAAAAAUACAGACAAUUCGAAAUAUAUAACUUUAUUUGUUGAUGGUCGCUUUGCAAGUGACCACAAACGCCACCAAAAAUACUAAGGUCAUGUGACUUUGUUUCCAGGUGAGGCACAAGAAAGUUUAUUUCUUAAUUUAACAAAGCAUUAACUGAUUGAGACCCCUUGACGGUCCUCAUGCCUCAUUACAUCAUAAAUAUUUAUCGCUUGGGUUUUAGGCUGAAUAAGCGCUAAUUGAAAAGACUCUUAAGAUUAAUUGUUCUUUACAUAAGAGAAAUCUAAAGACUAUGUAAAGCUGUGACUUUAUCUAUUAUUUAUCAAAAGUCUUAUUUCCUUCUUUGUGAAAUCUAUUUGACACUUACAUGGCUUAAUUUUAAAUUAUAACACAAAAAGCUUUGUAAACGAAAAUCGUUACAUGUUAAUAAAUUGACACAUUUAUUUCUUUAUCCAAUUUUUACUUAAAUAAUUGAAUUUAUUUAUUUCAUAUAAAAUUUAAUUGUAAAUUUUAUAAAUAAGUUAAUAAGACGUGAUGUCCACUUUUGCCCUGUCAC
Molecule: long non-coding RNA, 703 nt
Filed under: Mytilus galloprovincialis (Mediterranean mussel)
Lineage: Eukaryota; Metazoa; Mollusca; Bivalvia; Mytilida; Mytilidae
Source: RNAcentral